GCCCAACCGGCUCAGUCGGUGGAGCGUGUGAUUCUUGAUCUUGGGGCCGUGGGUUCGAGCCCCACACUGGGUA
RNAcentral lists this transfer RNA (73 nucleotides) under Ailuropoda melanoleuca (giant panda). It matches the Rfam family "tRNA". From Rfam's summary of the family: Transfer RNA (tRNA) molecules are approximately 80 nucleotides in length. Their secondary structure includes four short double-helical elements and three loops (D, anti-codon, and T loops). The record is from Rfam by way of RNAcentral. Lineage: Eukaryota; Metazoa; Chordata; Mammalia; Carnivora; Ursidae.